CGCCUCUUGACCCAAAUAAGAGGUCCAGCCUGCCCAGUGACACCAUGUUCAACGGCCGCGGUAUCCUGACCGUGCAAAGGUAGCGUAAUCACUUGUUUUUUAAAUAAAGACUAGUAUGAAAGGCAUCACGAGGAUUAACCUGUCUCCUCUCCCCAAUCUGUGAAACUAAUCUUCCCGUGAAGAAGCGGGAAUCUUCCCAUAAGACGAGAAGACCCUAUGGAGCUUUAGACACGCGAUACUGCCGCCACUCGCCCACCAAAAGCUCAUCACGGCAUCUUACCGCACAGUCUUAGGUUGGGGUGACCGCGGAGCAAAACUUACCCUCCACGCUGAAUGGGACCCCCCAAACAAAGAGCCACAACUCCAUGUAUCAAAAAACUGACAGCGAUUGACCCAAUCACUUGAUCAACGAAACAAGUUACCCUAGGGAUAACAGCGCAAUCCUCUUCGAGAGCCCCUAUCGACAAGAGGGUUUACGACCUCGAUGUUGGAUCAGGGUGUCCAAGUGGUGCAGCCGCUACUAAAGGCUCGU
Molecule: ribosomal RNA, 532 nt
Filed under: Ischnocnema octavioi
Lineage: Eukaryota; Metazoa; Chordata; Amphibia; Anura; Brachycephalidae
Description: partial large subunit ribosomal RNA
Rfam family: Bacterial large subunit ribosomal RNA
Source: RNAcentral